Molecule: long non-coding RNA, 1576 nt
Organism: Drosophila miranda
Lineage: Eukaryota; Metazoa; Arthropoda; Insecta; Diptera; Drosophilidae
Exons: 4
Source: RefSeq, a predicted model, not a curated record
GCUUUAGUCAAAAUACAAUAAAAGCAAGAACUAAAAACUAAAAUUAUGUGGGCAGAACUAAUGGUCUUAUAGGCUCUGCACACUGAACCCAUCCCGGGGGAAUGGUGGGAUUUUUUGACAGAUGUGAAACUCCGAUUCACACUGCCACCAUCCACCAUCCGUCAAAAACAGCUGAUGCCAAUAGCAAGUUCAUUAAAUUUGCGCGGAAGAUUUAUUAGUUCUUGGUUCUUAUAAUGGAUGAUGAAGAUAUAGCAAUUAUUUCGGCUGUGGUUCAACAGCAAAAUAUUUUCUUGCACCAACUAAUAAUGUUGCUGUCAAUGAAUAAUGAUGAUGACGAUGAUGACUUUAACAUUGACGAGGAUGAGAUGACCCAGAUGACUGCCAUAAAAACACAAAAGCCAGGAAGAUUAUGGUCGUUUGAAAAUUCCUAAAUUCCUUUGGAAAAGCGCAUCGCCAUUGCGCUAUACACUUUGGGCUCGUCCUCUGAGUACCGAACAGUUGGCAGGCUUUUCGGUGUAGCUCCAAACAUUGUGUGUAGUAUCCUGCACGAGUUUUGCAGAGCACUUAUCGACGAGUUUUCGAAGGAGUACACGUCGCCCAAUUACCUAACUUCCGACAAAAUUGAUGAGUGCGUAAAGGGAUUCGAGGCAAUUGGGUUUCCUCAGUGCCUAGGUGCAAUUGAUGGAUGCCACAUCGAAAUAAAACCACCAGCACCUGAGGCAGUAGACCACCAUAACUAUAAGGGCUGGUAUUCCACAGUCUUGUUUGCCCUAGUGGAUUAUAGAUACAGAUUUACAUAUGUAAAUAUCGGCUCUGCAGGAAGGUGCAAUGACUCGAUGAUAUACCAGAAGUCAAGCCGUGCAAAACAUAUCGAAGCAUCGGCAUUACUCCAAGAGAAAGCCAAGGAAAUAAGCGGAGUAAACGUCCCUGUAAUGCUUAUCGGGGACUCGGCAUUUAGGUUUUCUAAAAAGCUGAUGAAACCUUACCCGUUUUCCACAGUCGCCUCUUUGGAACAGCGCACGUUUAACUACAACCUUUCCAAAGCUAGGCGAGUGGUGGAAAAUGCAUUUGGGCAUUUAAAAGCCAGUUUUCGAAUAAUCGGAAAAGGUCUUGAUAGCCACCACAAAAAUAAUAGCGCCAUAAUAAUGAGCUGUUGUAUUUUACACAAUAUAUUAAAUAAGCACAACAGCGCGAUUAAUGAAAAUUGGGAGCUUGCAACAAAUGAGCAGCGCGAACAGCCCGAUACCAGCGACAGUUCUGCUGACUUUAAUCAGUCAGCAGAACAGAUACGAUCUGCAAUCGCAAAAUAUUGUGUAGACCGUAAUGAAAAUUAAAAACUUAUUUAUUUUUAUUUUUUAAAACUUCUAAUAAGUCGUUCUGGAAUUUUGUUUGGGUGCUGAUCAAGUCCUGCACCAUCUUUUCCUGCCUAACGUCGUGCUCCUCCUUCUUUCUGUGGUGGUCCUUUUGUUGUUCGAGACGCUCCUGGGCGAUCUCUGCCAGCCACGAAAUGUCGGUCUUUUUCUUUUUCUUUGGCGGACGCCCAGACAAGGUGCUGGAGCUACAAGAUCCGUCCAGG